AGUUUGAUCAUGGCUCAGAUUGAACGCUGGCGGGAUGCUUUACACAUGCAAGUCGAACGGCAGCACGGACUUCGGUCUGGUGGCGAGUGGCGGAACGUGGGUGAGUAAUGUAUCGGAACGUGCCUAGUAGCGGGGGAUAACUACGCGAAAGCGUAGCUAAUACCGCACACAGGCCCUUCGGGGAAAGCGGGGGACCUUCAAGCCUCGCACUAUUAGAGCGGCCGGGAUAUCGGAUUAGCUAGGUUGGUGGGGUAACGGCUCACCAAGGCGACGAUCCGUAGCUGGUUUGAGAGGACGACCAGCCAAGGUACCGGGACUGGAGACACGGCCCAGACUCUACGGGAGGCAGCAGUGGGGAAUUUGGACAAUGGGGAAACUUCGAUCCAGCCAUCCUGCGUGCGAUGAAGGCCUUCGGGUUGUAAAGCACUUUUGGCAGGGAAAAGAAACGGCACGGGAUAAUACCCCGUGCAACUGACGGUACCUGCAGAAUAAGCACCGGCUAACUACGCCGCCAGCAGCCGCGGUAAUACGUAGGGUGCAAGCGUUAAUCGGAAUUACUGGGCGUAAAGCGUGCGCAGGCGGUUCGGAAAGAAAGAUGGAAAUCCCAGAGCUUAACUUUGGAACCGCAUUUAACUACCGGUGCCAGAGUGUGUCAGAGGGAGGUGGAAUUCCGGCGUGUAGCAGUGAAAUGCGUAUAUGCGGAGGAACACCGAUGGCGUAGCAGCCUCCUGGGAUAACACUGACGCUCAUGCACGAAAGCGUGGGGAGCAAAACAGGAUUAGAUAAUUCUGGUAGUCCACGCCCUAAACGAUGUCAACUAUUGUUGGGGCCUUCGGCCUUGGUAGCGCAGCUAAUCGCGAAGUUGACCGCCUGGGGAGUACGGUCGCAAGAUUAAAACUCAAAGGAAUUGACGGGGACCCGCACAAGCGGUGGAUGAUGUGGAUUAAUUCGAUGCAACGCGAAAACCUUACUCACCUUGACAUGUCAGGAAUCCGAAGAGAUUUGGAAACGUAAGAGAACCGAACAAUAGGUGCUGCAUGGCUGUCGUCAGUCAGGCCGAGAUGUUGGGUUAAGUCCUGCAACGUGCGCAACCCCUUGUCAUUAGUUGCUACGAAAGCGUACCAAUGAGGCCGCCGGUGACAAACCGGAGGAAGGUGGGAUGACGUUCAGUCCUCAUGGCCCUUGCAGGGUAGGCUUUCACACGUCAUACAAUGGUCGGGACAGAGGGUCGCCAACCCGCGAGGGGAGCCAAUCCCAGAAACCCGAUCGUAGUCCGGAUCGCAGUCUGCAACUCGACUGCGAAGUCGGAAUUGCCAGUAAUCGCGGAUCAGCAUGCCGCGGCGAAUACGUUCCCGGGUCUUGUACACACCGCCCGUCACACCAUGGGAGUGGGUUUUACCAGGCAGUUAGCCUAACCGUAAGGAGGGCGAUUACGGUAGGAUUCAUGACUGGGGUGAAGUCGUAACAAGGUAG
This 1473-nucleotide ribosomal RNA is filed under the name uncultured Bordetella sp. RNAcentral describes it as "partial 16S-23S ribosomal RNA intergenic spacer". It matches the Rfam family "Bacterial small subunit ribosomal RNA". Lineage: Bacteria; Pseudomonadati; Pseudomonadota; Betaproteobacteria; Burkholderiales; Alcaligenaceae. The record is from RNAcentral.